UGAGGGUACGGCGUCCAUUGAAUACCUCCGAGCCACUGCGAUCUUGACUUGUCGAAUUUCUUCGGAAUUCGAACGAUGACGACACGCCCUGUGGAUAUGGGCCGGGUGUUUCCGGAAACCAACAAUGUUAUUAAUUCUGUCGAUUUGUCGCGAAUCGUGACGGCGUUGGUACGAGAGUGGAGAUCUCGGAAAUGCCAUUAAAGAUAGAGGAGGAACGGACAAGGCGAAGGAGAAGUUGUCCGGGUGGAAGUUGAUCACUCAAGGGUGUCGCCGCUGCAAGCUUUCAUCAAAGUCUUCCGCAAUGAAAACGCUACUGGGAGGCUGUUCCAUUCCUGGUAUAGAUGGCCGAAAGAUAUUCUCUCAGCCCUGUCGUGGGUCAACACGAAUGAAACAGAACCUUGCAAGAACUUGAAAGUUUGUGAAAGCACGCAAGUUUGCUUCGGUUAGUAAACUCGCUCCACCAAAAACGCGAUUCUUGAUUUCAAUGUGAAUAUUAAAUGUCUUCACUAUGAAAUCUAGCUAUAGAAGUAGAGAGUCUAUAGUUAUAUAAAGCUGUGCAAGACCCCUGAUUGUAUUUUUUAAGGAGAACUAUCCAUCAAUUACUAAUAUAUUCUAAAUUACUAGUAACAUGACUAGCACUUCCUUUGAAAGGUUUUCCGCAGUUGUCUAUGCCAUGGAUAUGCAAUAGCAGCGCUUGCGAGAUAGAUUAUGAAUGCAAUUGAGACGAAUAUACAUAAAAACGCGU
RNAcentral lists this small RNA (745 nucleotides) under Histoplasma ohiense. Its description in RNAcentral is "hypothetical lncRNA". Lineage: Eukaryota; Fungi; Ascomycota; Eurotiomycetes; Onygenales; Ajellomycetaceae. The record is from RNAcentral.